This 2329-nucleotide long non-coding RNA is filed under the name Homo sapiens (human). Its description in RNAcentral is "HSALNT0345528". The record is from RNAcentral. Lineage: Eukaryota; Metazoa; Chordata; Mammalia; Primates; Hominidae.
CUCCAGCGCAUCUCUGUGGGAGAGGGAGUUGGGAAAUAGGAUCGCCAAUUUUCAGUGUAAUUGAGGGGGACUCAGGAGGAGUCAGUUAGACUGGAAGAGGUCAUCACCUGCAGAUGCGGUUAAGCAACUUGCAGAGGCCCCAGGGCUGAGCCACCGCAGAACCGGAGCUGGAAACCAGUCCUAUGACUCCUGAGGCAGUGCUCUUUCUACUACCUGGCCAUGGCUCCUUCUACUGCCUGGCUCAGAGUCUCCAUCUGGGAGAUUCCGGCGCACCAGACUUUAUUGUGGGCACAGGGUAGGCAGUCCUGAGGCUAUAGGCACAGUCUUGAAGCAGCUCGGUUUCCAUUAAGCUCCUGCUUACCUGCAGGAAGCAUCCCUGAAGCAAGUUUUGCUUCCCACCUGGACUCCCCAGGUGGACCUAUCCCCACCCCACACCCUGAGUGAACUCUUCACCCUCGUGACCUAAUAUACCCACUGCAAUUCAAUUGAGACUUGGGAAACAGGGAAGUGGGUGUUUUCCAAAUGAAUGAAAAAUAUGUCUAUUCUGCUACUGCCCCAAAAUGCUGCAUAAUGGAGGUAAUAAAUAGUUAACACAGCAUACGUACACACAUACAUAGGUACAAGCCAUUGGCCAAGGCUCCUUCCCACAUUAUCACACAGCACCCUCUUAAGGCAAAUCAUGAUACUCCCCAUUUUGCAGACGGAGGGCAGGACAUGGAGGCUGGCGUUGGUUAUGAGUUGUGUAAAGGUUAGAACCUUCACAGUCAAGCACUCUUUGGGUAACCAAGUAACCUCUUCAGAGCCUUCCCACUGCCACCGAAGCAUUCCUACACCUCCCUAUAUUGGCAGCUCAGUCCAGGAGGAGGACUAAAGGGGGAACGUGUGUCCCUCUCACUGCACCAUUGCCGAGCUUUCUUCUCCAAAUGGCACAACAGGCACAGCUCUCUGGUGUAACGCUUUCAACUGCAUAACUGAGAUCUCACAUAAAAGUCAUCUAGUACAGGCCAGGCGCAGUGGCUCAUGCCUAUAAUCCCAGCACUUUGGGAGGCCGAGGCAGGUGGAUCACCUGAAGUCAGGAGCUCAAGACCAGCCUGGCCAACAUGUUGAAACCCCGUCUCUACUAAAAAUACAAACAUCAGCCGGGCGUGGGGGCGCGCACCUGUAAUCCCAGCUACUCGGGAGGCUGAGGCAUGAGAAUCACUUGAACCUGGGAGGCGGAGGUUGCAGUAAGCCAAGAUCACUCCAGCCUGGGCAACAGAGCAAGACUCCAUCUCAAAAAGAAAAAAAAAAAGUCAUUUGGUACAUCAGGGUGCUUCACAGGUUGAGUUUUUCAUUCUACUUCUGUCCACUCAGCGUCGUCACUUCUCCAAUCUAUAGAAGAGAACAAAAGGGUAACAGAGGGAACUAGUACAGAAAACAAGAUGAGUGGGGCAGCAGAGAUUAAUCUAGAUCUGGUCUGCAUCUGCCUGACAUAAAAUCCAGAUAUCUAAACACAGAUCUGCUGAAAACGGUGUCUUUUAUUUCUACAGUAAUUACACUAAUUCACCAACGUGCAUAUCUAGCUCACCCAGACCUUUAUUUAUCAAUUGGAAAACUAGUUUUCAAAUAGUUUCCCUUUGAUAACUCAAAAUUCAGUAUUUUAGAGAAAGGUCUUCUAACCUUUACUCCACCUUUAAUUUUUAAAUUCUGAUGGAUAGGUUAUUUAAAUUAUUACUGUUGUUUCUUUCCAAGCAUUUUUAGCACCACUUUAAAAAGUAGAUAUUUAUCAUUUAAGUCAAUAUCUACAAAAUCCUGUCCCACUUUCAUACCUUACUCUGUGCCCUUUCACUAUGAAACACUAUGAUAAACUCUCCAUUAAUAAGACAAUAUGUUUCAACACACAUUAUUAUAAGAAUCUUUAUUACCAAUAGUAGAAAUAAGAUGCAUAAAGGUACACUCAAGGAUACUAGAAGAGCUACUGUAUAAAAUAUUAACACUGAACAGGGAAAAUAGCCUGAGGAAGGGAAGGGCGAGUAUAGUCAGUAUCAAUACGUCCAAAAACAAGAAAUGUCUAAAGAAAAGCAACAAGUGCGUUAUCCGCCAAGAAAAGAAAAAGACAGGCAAAGGCAAUAACGUGGGAAACAAGCUUUGCCAAUUUCAGAAACAAGGGUAUUUCCUUUCCUGUUGCACAGAGGGGAUUCACUGUAUAUAGCCACAAACGUGUCCCAUUGAGGAGAAAUUUGGCCUUCAAACCAGAUGAUGCCAGUAAUGCCUCCCUUGCUAUAUGAGAUGUGUUUGGCUUUUUCUGUAAACACAACCAGAAAAUGUUCGAGUCAAAUCAUUAUUCAUC